AUUCCCAUCCCACCACCUUUUCCGAGCAAGCAAAAGCAGCGAAGCGGACCAACCCAAUCCAUCUCAUCUCCUCUACUCUGAAUCGCGAAUUAAACCCACCCGCGAAUCCUCCGAUUCUUUUUCUUCCUCUCGCGGCGCGAAGCAACCAAUCAAUGGCGGUGGCGUUGGGACCCGCGGCCACGUUCUCCGCCCGCCCCGCGGCGCCGGGCGCCGGCCGGCCCUGCUCGUGCGCCGCCGCGGCCACCGGAGGUGCCAGGUUCCGCGGCGCCGACGGGAAGUGGUGGGCGCCGCUGCUCGGGUGGUCGGGCCAGCCCGACUACAUCGACGCCCAGCCGGCGCCCCUGCCGGAGGAGGAGCGGGCUGCUGCUGGUGCUGCGGGCGCGAGGCGGUUCGGGGUGCUGACGGAGGAGAAGGCGCGGCAGCUGCGGGUGCGGAUGAUGGAGACGGAGAGCUUCCACGACGCCAUGUACCACUCCGCCAUCGCCUCCCGCCUCGCCUCCGCCGCGCCCGACGGCGACGCCAAGCCGUAGAGCGCGGAGCCGAGCAGCUCAGGCUCAGCUCGCCGGCCGGAGCCAUGGGAGACGCGCUGUCUGUGCACAGCUGUACAUACGCUUUCGUUUGUUCUGUCUGUCCUGUUGACCGUUACUGUACCCCAUUACGUAGUCAAGAAGAGGCCGGUAAUAUUUAGGACAGGGCCCCUUCAGACCCUCCUUCCUGAACUUGAUUAUUCCAUGGAGAUGGGACUGCUUACUUAAUCUUACUAGUAGUUCUGGAGCAAAACUAGCUAGCAGUAGCACCUGAAUGAUGAAUGUACAAAAAUAAUUUGGUUGUGCUGAUGAUUUAAGUUUCGGUUUGCUCAUCAGUGUUUUACUUUUACUGCAAGGUGUGGUUACGCUGAAUCCAACUCCGCGGAAUGACAGUCGAUUGUCAAAUUCAGAUGCUCGCGAGCUGCAAAAAUGAC
RNAcentral lists this long non-coding RNA (961 nucleotides) under Triticum aestivum (bread wheat). RNAcentral describes it as "long non-coding RNA (TAES_LNC025288)". The record is from RNAcentral. Lineage: Eukaryota; Viridiplantae; Streptophyta; Magnoliopsida; Poales; Poaceae.